UCAUAUCUUUCCCUUAAAUUUAUCAUAAAGCAAACACUCAUCUGACCAAACAUAUCGAGAGGAGUCUGGGACAUACAUUAAUUAUCUAAAAUUGUUUCUAUAUAAAAGAACCUCAUGCUUCACUAUGCUUAGAGAAAAUGGCUGAAGGGAAUUAAAUAUACGUCAAAUAUAAACCUGCAAUCAUGCCGUAGAUUGCAAAUCAAAACGCUUGCCAGGAAGUUCCUUCUACGACCUCAAUAUCUACUUCAUUUUGGGCUUGACUUUGAUUCCUCCUCCCAUAACCGCUUGGUGGUGACAGAGUGUGGGUCCUUCUCCUCACUGGAGAGAAGCUUCAACCUCUAUAUCAGUCAAUCAACAAAAUUGGGUCAUAAAAUAUGCCAUGAUUGUUUGUACUUCAAAAAAAUACAUUAAGACACAACAGUUGAGGAAAAAGUCGGAAUGAGGGUGAGGCGGAGGAGGCGGCCAAGACCAACCAAGGCGGAGAUCGUCGAAGGUGGCAUGAAGAACGGCUGAUUGAGAAGAAACAGCAGUUGAGGAAAUGAGAUUUGAGAUGUUCCAUUCCUGACUUGACGAUCCAAUAUGUAUAGCAACGACAGUGGUAGAGGUUUUGAAACGUUUGAGUUAUUAAAGGUAUCAUUAAAGAGGAGAAGAUGGAGAGGUAGCGAUCUAGAAAAUUAGGGUUUGAAGAAAUGAGAAAG
RNAcentral lists this long non-coding RNA (698 nucleotides) under Brassica napus (rape). RNAcentral's name for it is "long non-coding RNA (BNAP_LNC014181)". The record is from RNAcentral. Lineage: Eukaryota; Viridiplantae; Streptophyta; Magnoliopsida; Brassicales; Brassicaceae.